UCUAGUAACGGCGAGUGAAGCAGGAAUAGCCCAGCACCGAAUCCUCNNNNNNNNGCGUGGAGCGGGACAUGUGGUGUUAGGGGUGCCAGNAGCGCUGGCGCGGUCGUCUCGGUGCCCAGGUCCUCGUGAUCGUGGCUUUUCGCCCCAUCGAGGGUGUAAGGCCCUUCGUGGCGCCGGACUCGCGUCGCCCGCUAGCAUCUCGGGAGUCGGGUUGCUUGAGAUCGCAGCCCGAAGUGGGUGGUAAACUCCAUCUAAGGCUAAAUACUGGACACGAGUCCGAUAGUAGACAAGUACCGCGAGGGAAAGUUGAAAAGAACUUUGAAGAGAGAGUUCAAUAGUACGUGAAACCGCACAGAGUCAAACGGGUGGAGCCGCAAUGUCGCUCGUCCCGGGGCAUUCAGCCCGUUUUCUCGCCGCCAGGCCUUCUCGGCGUGGGGUGCGCUCGCGCGUGCCUUCGCCGGGACGGUUUUUCCUUUGGUGGCGAGACGGGUGCACUUGCUCCGGUCGUCGAGAGCCACGACCGGUUCCUUCGCAGGCAGUGUGGACUCCCUUGGUCGGGCUAACGGCAGGACGAACGUUGCUCUGUUUACAGGGCCUCGAUCUCCUGCUCCGACUGGGAGGGAAACUGGCCUGGGGACCGAGGACUGCAUCGGGUCGGCGUCUCCGUUACUCUCGAGCCGUGUGCCCCUUGCCGCCUCUUUUGGKUGGCAAGACGGGCGCGAGGACGCAUCGGGAGGGAGCGGGUGGCGCUUCGGCUUAAAUGGUGCUUGGUCGGUGGGCGGAUCAAGUUCGGGUACUCUCACCCCGACCCGUUCUUGAAACACCGGAACCAAGGAGUCUAGCAUGUGCGCGAGUCGAUGGGAUUCGACGAAACCCCACGGCACAAUGAAAGUGAAGGCAUUCCCUCGUUGGAGGCCUAGGCAGGAUGCUGGAUGAAAUAGGCCAGCCGCACUGCCGGCCCGUCCCGAUCGCCUUUGACGAUGGGGCGGAGCAAGAGCGCACACGCUGGGACCCGAAAGAUGGUGAACUAUGCUUGAGCAGGACGAAGUCAGGGGAAACUCUGAUGGAGGUCCGCAGCGAUUCUGACGUGCAAAUCGAUCGUCAAACUUGAGUAUAGGGGCGAAAGACUAAUCGAACCAUCUAGUAGCUGGUUCCUUCCGAAGUUUCCCUCAGGAUAGCUGGCACUAAUCACGCUGCAGUUUUAUCCGGUACAGCGAAUGAUUAGAGGGAUUGGGGGAGUUUCUUCCCUCAACCUAUUCUCAAACUUUAAAUGGGUAAGAAGCACGGCUCGCCUGAUACUUUUGUACGGAGCCGCUGCCUCAGAAUGUAUCUGUGCCUAGUGGGCCAAUUUUGGUAAGCAGAACUGGCGCUGUGGGAUGAACCAAACGUCCGGUUAAGGCGCCCGAGUCGGACGCUCAUCAGAACCCAUAAAAGGUGUUGGUUGGUUUAAACAGCAGGACGGUGGCCAUGGAAGUCGGCAUUCGCUAAGGAGUGUGUAACAACUCACCUGCCGAAUCAACCGGCCCUGAAAAUGGAUGGCGCUGGAGCGUUGGGCCUAUACCGGACCGUCGGGGCACUUUCGACUCUCUUCACGGGAGCGAGGAGCGAUGCCCCGACGAGUAGGAAGGCGCUGCGGUGAGCACAGAAGCCUGGCGCGUGAGCGUGGGUCGAGCCGCCGCGGGUGCAGAUCUUGGUGGUAGUAGCAAAUAUUCAAAUGAGAACUUUGAAGACUGAAGUGGAGAUGGGUUCCAUGUGAACAGCAGUUGAACACGGGUCAGUCGGCCCUAAGGGAUCGGAGAACUCCGUUCUCGAGAGGCAAGUUAUUUUAUUUUUUCUAAAAACGAACCUUGCCGGAAACGAAAGGGACUCGGGUUAAUAUUCCCGAACCUGGUCACGGAGACGCGGCCGCGCCAGUCCCCUAACAAGGACGGGCCGGUCCAGUGCGGCAACGCAAACGAACUCGGAGACGUCGGCGAGAGCCCUGGGAAGAGUUCUCUUUUCUUUGUAAGGGCCGGACUCCCUGGAAUCGCCUUGAGCGGAGAGAGGGAUGUCCAAGCCCGUAAAGCACCGCGGCUCUUGCGGUGUCCGGAGCGCUCUCGUCGGCCCUUGAAAAUCCGAGGGAGACAGUGUUAAUCUCGUGCCAGGCCGUACCCAUAUCCGCAGCAGGUCU
Molecule: ribosomal RNA, 2170 nt
Filed under: Dallocardia muricata
Lineage: Eukaryota; Metazoa; Mollusca; Bivalvia; Cardiida; Cardiidae
Description: eukaryotic LSU rRNA
Rfam family: Eukaryotic large subunit ribosomal RNA
Source: RNAcentral